GGUGGCUCAGUGGUAGAGUGCUUGUCUUGCCUGCAUGAGGCCCUGGGUUCGAUUCCCCAGCACCG
Molecule: transfer RNA, 65 nt
Filed under: Dipodomys ordii (Ord's kangaroo rat)
Lineage: Eukaryota; Metazoa; Chordata; Mammalia; Rodentia; Heteromyidae
Rfam family: tRNA
About the family: Transfer RNA (tRNA) molecules are approximately 80 nucleotides in length. Their secondary structure includes four short double-helical elements and three loops (D, anti-codon, and T loops). Further hydrogen bonds mediate the characteristic L-shaped molecular structure. tRNAs have two regions of fundamental functional importance: the anti-codon, which is responsible for specific mRNA codon recognition, and the 3' end, to which the tRNAs corresponding amino acid is attached (by aminoacyl-tRNA synthetases). tRNAs cope with the degeneracy of the genetic code in two manners: having more than one tRNA (with a specific anti-codon) for a particular amino acid; and 'wobble' base-pairing, i.e. permitting non-standard base-pairing at the 3rd anti-codon position.
Source: Rfam by way of RNAcentral